Molecule: long non-coding RNA, 196 nt
Organism: Oxyura jamaicensis (ruddy duck)
Lineage: Eukaryota; Metazoa; Chordata; Aves; Anseriformes; Anatidae
Exons: 3
Source: RefSeq, a predicted model, not a curated record
GAGAUCCACAGCUGGGAGAAGUUUAAAGACUGCUGCACUGUGGGAAUGGAAUGACUUUGUCUUUGAGAGCUCACCUGACUUCAUUGCUCAUACAUGUAAGAAGAAUACUCAGACUGGGAAACCACUCUUCUUUUUGUACUCUAUCCUCACAAUGUAGUGAUGCUCAUAGCAGUGACUACACAGAGCCAAGGACUUU